UUUCUGACAGCAUGACUGCUAUCAAAAGAUUUUUGAAAAUCUAAUAUUUUUCAUGAAAGGUACUUAUCAUUUCACCUUAGGUCUAUAAAAUGAAAGCACUCACUUGAUACUGAUGAUUUAAAAUCUGUUUGGUGUUUUCUGUUCUGGAAACCUACUUGCUUCUUGACAGGUUGCAGAAGGAAAUCGCUCUUGAUUUUUCCCUGAUACUGAGGAUAACACAGUUUUUUGUGCUAGAUGUGGAGGCUGACAAUGCUAUGAUCAUCUGAAAAUUGUGUUCUGAGUCUUCAGCUGCGUUGGUGUCACUUGUAUGUUCUGUAAUCUCUUCAAAAGCAUAAGAGGUGACUAAGGGACUAUUUGUCACUUGUUUAACAAAUGCUCUAUAACCACUUUCCCUUUUGGUGUUUAAUCAUUUUUGUCAUUUUGUAUGCUCUGAAACUUUUAAAUCAGUGUGACUGUCAGAAGGUCUUUAUCAUGAAGACUUGUCUAUCUUUUAGACUUGAUCUGUGUAAGACAACAUAACCUUGUCUUGAACUUUGCUUUUUCGUUAUUCUUUAUUUAUCACUUUAUAUUCUGCUUGCAUGUUUAACAAGACCUCCAAUACUGCUUAAAAAUAAUAAUAAUAAUAAAAAAAAAUCUAUUAGCUAUUUAGUUACCUUAAGGCAAAGUUAUUAUAAAAGAGGGAAGGUUCUCUCUUUUAUUUUCAGUUUCCAGAAGCUUUAUGUCAAAAUAUAACCUCUGAUCUCUUUUGAACUCAUUUUGCCUUUUCAAUCUAUGUCACUAUAGACUUUUUGUCAUUUGUUUUUCUCCUAGCUUCUAAUCUAGUCUUUUGCUUGCUUUUUCUCGCUGGUACCAAAAUAACAUCAGAAAGCUAUUAUUUCCUUUUUAAUUUAAUUCUGUUUGUGGAAGCCUUUCUACUUUCUAACUGUACUUUCUCUGCUGUCUAAUCUACAGAAUAACUGUGGUUAUCGCAAGAUAUCCAAGUCUUCAAGUGCCUGGAACUUAGGAUAUCUACGCCACCUUAGAGGUACCAGCUCUGCCACCAUGAGAUGCAUAGACUACAAGUAACAUGCAAAUCUGUCAGAAGAGGGGAAGAAAGGAUGCUGCUUUACAAGGAGGACAAGCUAUAGGUAUAUAAGAGCAAGGUGAAAUAAAGAAAUUGAAAAGUUAAAGAAUGUUAUAAAAAUAUUGAUACCAAAAGCUAAAAUUUUCAGUACAGCCAGAAUUUAUUGCUGUGUUGUUAUUUUUGACAAAUGCGAAGAAAUAGUUUAAGGGAAGGAAAGGAUCUGAAAUCACCUAAAUCUACUUUUUAUCUUAAAAUAUUAGUUCUUUAUUAAACACAACAACCUAUGUUUAACUGUCCCAUAUCUUGUAGAAAUCCGUCUCGGUAUUAACUAGACUGAAGAGAA
This is a non-coding RNA of Anas platyrhynchos (mallard), 1406 nucleotides long. The record is from RefSeq and is a predicted model, not a curated record. Lineage: Eukaryota; Metazoa; Chordata; Aves; Anseriformes; Anatidae.